Molecule: ribosomal RNA, 1384 nt
Filed under: Microbacterium sp.
Lineage: Bacteria; Bacillati; Actinomycetota; Actinomycetes; Micrococcales; Microbacteriaceae
Description: bacterial SSU rRNA
Rfam family: Bacterial small subunit ribosomal RNA
Source: RNAcentral
CCCCAUGGGCAGGUCGAACGAUGAAGCCCAGCUUGCUGGGUGGAUUAGUGGCGAACGGGUGAGUAACACGUGAGCAACCUGCCCCUGACUCUGGGAUAAGCGCUGGAAACGGCGUCUAAUACUGGAUAUGUCCCAUCACCGCAUGGUGUGUGGGUGGAAAGAUUUUUCGGUUGGGGAUGGGCUCGCGGCCUAUCAGCUUGUUGGUGAGGUAAUGGCUCACCAAGGCGUCGACGGGUAGCCGGCCUGAGAGGGUGACCGGCCACACUGGGACUGAGACACGGCCCAGACUCCUACGGGAGGCAGCAGUGGGGAAUAUUGCACAAUGGGCGGAAGCCUGAUGCAGCAACGCCGCGUGAGGGAUGACGGCCUUCGGGUUGUAAACCUCUUUUAGCAGGGAAGAAGCGAAAGUGACGGUACCUGCAGAAAAAGCACCGGCUAACUACGUGCCAGCAGCCGCGGUAAUACGUAGGGUGCAAGCGUUAUCCGGAAUUAUUGGGCGUAAAGAGCUCGUAGGCGGUUUGUCGCGUCUGCUGUGAAAUCCCGAGGCUCAACUUCGGGCUUGCAGUGGGUACGGGCAGACUAGAGUGCGGUAGGGGAGAUUGGAAUUCCUGGUGUAGCGGUGGAAUGCGCAGAUAUCAGGAGGAACACCGAUGGCGAAGGCAGAUCUCUGGGCCGUAACUGACGCUGAGGAGCGAAAGGGUGGGGAGCAAACAGGCUUAGAUACCCUGGUAGUCCACCCCGUAAACGUUGGGAACUAGUUGUGGGGUCCUUUCCACGGAUUCCGUGACGCAGCUAACGCAUUAAGUUCCCCGCCUGGGGGAGUACGGCCGCAAGGCUAAAACUCAAAGGAAUUGACGGGGACCCGCACAAGCGGCGGAGCAUGCGGAUUAAUUCGAUGCAACGCGAAGAACCUUACCAAGGCUUGACAUACACGAGAACGGGCCAGAAAUGGUCAACUCUUUGGACACUCGUGAACAGGUGGUGCAUGGUUGUCGUCAGCUCGUGUCGUGAGAUGUUGGGUUAAGUCCCGCAACGAGCGCAACCCUCGUUCUAUGUUGCCAGCACGUAAUGGUGGGAACUCAUGGGAUACUGCCGGGGUCAACUCGGAGGAAGGUGGGGAUGACGUCAAAUCAUCAUGCCCCUUAUGUCUUGGGCUUCACGCAUGCUACAAUGGCCGGUACAAUGGGCUGCGAUACCGUAAGGUGGAGCGAAUCCCAAAAAGCCGGUCCCAGUUCGGAUUGAGGUCUGCAACUCGACCUCAUGAAGUCGGAGUCGCUAGUAAUCGCAGAUCAGCAACGCUGCGGUGAAUACGUUCCCGGGUCCUUGUACACACGCGCAAAAGUCUCACUCCCUGUUGAGUUCGGUGUUUUCUUUACCCCCCGCC